RNAcentral lists this ribosomal RNA (449 nucleotides) under uncultured bacterium. RNAcentral's name for it is "bacterial SSU rRNA". It matches the Rfam family "Bacterial small subunit ribosomal RNA", at positions 29 to 523 of the family's 1533-position model. The record is from RNAcentral.
AACGAACGCUGGCGGCAGGCUUAACACAUGCAAGUCGAACGGAUCCUUCGGGAUCAGUGGCGGACGGGUGAGUAACGCGUGGGAACCUACCCUGGGGUGGGGAAUAACCUUGGGAAACCGAGGCUAAUACCGCAUACGCCCUAUUGGGGAAAGACUAUGUUGCCCUGGGAUGGGCCCGCGUCCGAUUAGCUAGUUGGUGGGGUAAUGGCCUACCAAGGCUGCGAUCGGUAGCUGGUCUGAGAGGAUGAUCAGCCACACUGGGACUGAGACACGGCCCAGACUCCUACGGGAGGCAGCAGUGGGGAAUAUUGGACAAUGGGGGCAACCCUGAUCCAGCCAUGCCGCGUGAGUGAAGAAGGCCUUAGGGUUGUAAAGCUCUUUCACCCGUGACGAUGAUGACGGUAGCGGAGAAGAAGCCCCGGCUAAUUCCGUGCCAGCAGCCGCGGUAA